GCUUGUCUCAAAGAUUAAGCCAUGCAUGUCUCAGUACAAGCCAAAUUAAGGUGAAACCGCGAAAGGCUCAUUAAAUCAGUUAUGGUUCCUUAGAUCGUACCCACAAUUACUUGGAUAACUGUGGUAAUUCUAGAGCUAAUACAUGCAAACAGAGCUCCGACCGGAAACGGGAGGAGUGCUUUUAUUAGAUCAAGACCAAUCGGUGGCGGGCUCGUCAUCGUACAACUUGGUGACUCUGAAUAACUUUACGCUGAUCGCACGGUCACCGCACCGGCGACGCAUCUUUCAAAUGUCUGCCUUAUCAACUGUCGAUGGUAGGUUCUGCGCCUACCAUGGUUGUUACGGGUAACGGGGAAUCAGGGUUCGAUUCCGGAGAGGGAGCCUGAGAAACGGCUACCACAUCCAAGGAAGGCAGCAGGCGCGCAAAUUACCCACUCCCGGCACGGGGAGGUAGUGACGAAAAAUAACGAUACGGGACUCAUCCGAGGCCCCGUAAUCGGAAUGAGUACACUCUAAACCCUUUAACGAGGAUCAAUUGGAGGGCAAGUCUGGUGCCAGCAGCCGCGG
This 567-nucleotide ribosomal RNA is filed under the name Telaugia sp. ARC0507. Its description in RNAcentral is "SSU rRNA". It matches the Rfam family "Eukaryotic small subunit ribosomal RNA", at positions 30 to 579 of the family's 1831-position model. Lineage: Eukaryota; Metazoa; Arthropoda; Insecta; Coleoptera; Curculionidae. The record is from RNAcentral.